GGUUGUAACUUGUGGCUAAGGUAGGCUACUGGAUGUCCUCCUCCAUCGUCUGCCACUUGGCUCAGCACCGCUCGUAACCCAAACAUGGAGACAUCUGUAUGGACAACAAAACAUUUUAAAGGGUCAGGAGAGGCUAGUACUGGGGCUUGGGUUAGAGCUAUCGUUAAAUGUUAGAAGGUUGCAUCACAUUCGGAGGACCUGUCGGGAGAGGUUUUUCUUGGUCAGGUUAGUUAAG
Non-coding RNA from Pelobates cultripes (western spadefoot toad), 235 nucleotides. The record is from the annotation of a GenBank genome assembly. Lineage: Eukaryota; Metazoa; Chordata; Amphibia; Anura; Pelobatidae.